Molecule: long non-coding RNA, 710 nt
Organism: Morus notabilis
Lineage: Eukaryota; Viridiplantae; Streptophyta; Magnoliopsida; Rosales; Moraceae
Exons: 4
Source: RefSeq, a predicted model, not a curated record
CGGGGUCAAAUGCCAACAUUGGUGGAGUAUAUGUUGCUUCUUUACCAUGCCUUAUUGCCAACUGCACUCCGGUACCGUUUCUUCUAGAACAAAGAAUAUGGAAGUCUCUUUUCAUCACUAAUGACAAAAUUGUAUUUAACCUUCAAGCUCGUGUCUGUUGUUGAAAAGGUGAGGGUUUUGUCUUAUUUUUUUCCCCUUGCAAAAUUGGUAAUAUACGUUUCCAUGUUCCCUAUAUCUUUCUAGUCUCUCGUGAAGGUUGGGUUUCUGGUAAGAGUGGUGUUUUUACCAAUGUGUACUUUUCUUUUUCCCUCUCCAUUUCUUUCUUGGGAUAUUGUCAAGUGCAAUCCUUCUUUGCUGUACUGAAAGCUUUAUCGCGUAAGGAAGUGCACUAUGGAGCAUAUUGGACAUCUGAGCAGGUGAAUACAGCUGGUGAUCUAUGCACUAUAUGGCAAGAGAAGAUGCACGCUCCUAUCCUACUUCGUUGCAAGCUCAUUUUCUGUGAGGACUGUGUUUCAGAAUGGGUUGCAAAAACCAGAAUGGGGUAUGGUGCUGAAACACUUGAUUGAAAAGGGGGUGCAUGUUUUUAUUGAACUUAUACAAUGUCCUUUUCCUUAUGCCAAGAAAAAGGAGGAGAGGACAAAGUGCUGGAUAAAAGGAAAAGGUAGAAAGAGGAGAAAAAAAAACGUAAAUGAAAAAUAAUAAAAAAAGUG